This is a small nucleolar RNA of Amaranthus tricolor (Joseph's coat), 89 nucleotides long. The record is from RefSeq and is a predicted model, not a curated record. Lineage: Eukaryota; Viridiplantae; Streptophyta; Magnoliopsida; Caryophyllales; Amaranthaceae.
AUGCAGUGAUGCUGAAAAUCUACCUAUUUUCUGAGAAACCAUAAAUGGUUUCUUUGAUUAUAGAACUUACCAAUGGAUCCUUCUGAGCU